AGAGUUUGAUCAUGGCUCAGCUUGAACGCUGGCGGCAUGGCUAAAACAUGCAAGUCGAACGAGAAGCCAACUUCGGUUGGUGGACAGUGGCGAAAGGGCGAGUAACGCGUUCCUACAUACCCCGAGGUCGAGGAUAGCCCAGGGAAACCUGGAGUAAUACCCGAUAUGGUCCGCCUCGGCGGAGCAAAGGCUUGCUGCCUUGGGAGCAAGGAACGUCCUAUCAGGUUGUUGGUGAGGUAACGGCUCACCAAGCCAAAGACGGGUAGCGGGUGUGAGAGCAUGACCCGCCGCAUCGGGACUGAGACACUGCCCGGACUCCUACGGGAGGCUGCAGUAACGAAUCUUCCGCAAUGCGCGAAAGCGUGACGGAGCAAUGCCGCGUGCAGGAUGAAGCCCUUCGGGGUGUAAACUGCUGUCAGGGGCUAGGAACACAAUGACCAACCCCAAAGGAAGGGCCGGCUAACUUCGUGCCAGCAGCCGCGGUAAUACGAAGGGCCCGAGCGUUAAUCGGAAUCACUGGGCUUAAAGCGUACGCAGGCGGAUUUGUAGGUAUCUUGUGAAAUCCCACGGCUCAACCGUGGAACUGCAGGGUAAACCACAAAUCUUGAGACAAGUAGGGGUCAGUGGAACUAUGAGUGGAGCGGUGAAAUGCGUAGAUAUUCAUGGUAACGCCUAUGGCGAAGGCAACUGACUGGGCUUGUUCCGACGCUCAGGUACGAAAGCGUGGGUAGCGAACGGGAUUAGAUCCCCCGGUAGUCCACGCCGUAAACGAUGAACACUCGGUCGCGGAGCCUCUCAUGGUCUCGCGGCCGAAGGUAGACUGAUUAGGGCGCCGCCUGGGGAGUACGGUCGCAAGGCUAAAACUCAAAGGAAUUGACGGGGGCUCACACAAGCGGUGGAGCAUGUUGCUUAAUUCGAGUCAACGCGAAGAACCUUACCUAGGGUUGAACUACGGCGGAUUAGCUCCCUGAAAGGGGAGUGACACCCUCGGGUGGAACGUCGAUAGGUGCUGCAUGGCUGUCGUCAGCUCGUGCUGUGAAGUGUCGGGUUAAGUCCCUUAACGAGCGCAACCCCUGUCGUUAGUUGCCAGCGAGUAAUGUCGGGGACUCUAGCGAGACCGCCGGUGUCAAACCGGAGGAAGGUGGGGAUGACGUCAAGUCCGCAUGGCCUUUAUGCCCAGGGCUGCACACGUGCUACAAUGGUCGGUACAGAACGACGCAAUACCGCGAGGUGGAGCAAAUCGCUUAAAGCCGGCCCCAGUUCGGAUUGCAGGCUGCAACUCGCCUGCAUGAAGUUGGAAUCGCUAGUAAUCGGAGAUCAGCUACGCUCCGGUGAAUACGUUCCUGAGCCUUGUACACACCGCCCGUCAAGUCAUGGAAGCUGGCAGCGCCCGAAGUCGCCUCGAUUCAGGGGUGCCCACGGUGAGGCUGGUGACUGGGACUAAGUCGUAACAAGGUA
This 1458-nucleotide ribosomal RNA is filed under the name uncultured prokaryote. RNAcentral describes it as "partial 16S ribosomal RNA". It matches the Rfam family "Bacterial small subunit ribosomal RNA". The record is from RNAcentral.